GACGAACGCUGGCGGCGUGCCUAAUACAUGCAAGUAGAACGCUGAAGGAGGAGCUUGCUUCUCUGGAUGAGUUGCGAACGGGUGAGUAACGCGUAGGUAACCUGCCUGGUAGCGGGGGAUAACUAUUGGAAACGAUAGCUAAUACCGCAUAAGAGUAGAUGUUGCAUGACAUUUGCUUAAAAGGUGCAAUUGCAUCACUACCAGAUGGACCUGCGUUGUAUUAGCUAGUUGGUGAGGUAACGGCUCACCAAGGCAACGAUACAUAGCCGACCUGAGAGGGUGAUCGGCCAAAAUGGGACUGAGACACGGCCCAGACUCAGACGGGAGGCAGCAGUAGGGAAUCUUCGGCAAUGGAAGGAAGUAUGACCGAGCAACGCAGCGUGAGGGAAGAAGGUUUUCGGAUCGUAAAGCUCGGUUGUAAGAGAAGAACGAGUGUGAGAGUGGAAAGUUCACACUGGGACGGUAUCUUAACAGAAAGGGACGGCUAACUACGUG
This 495-nucleotide ribosomal RNA is filed under the name uncultured bacterium. Its description in RNAcentral is "partial 16S ribosomal RNA". It matches the Rfam family "Bacterial small subunit ribosomal RNA", at positions 28 to 507 of the family's 1533-position model. The record is from RNAcentral.